RNAcentral lists this ribosomal RNA (741 nucleotides) under Streptomyces sp. BGMRC02018. Its description in RNAcentral is "bacterial SSU rRNA". It matches the Rfam family "Bacterial small subunit ribosomal RNA", at positions 48 to 806 of the family's 1533-position model. The record is from RNAcentral. Lineage: Bacteria; Bacillati; Actinomycetota; Actinomycetes; Kitasatosporales; Streptomycetaceae.
CUUACCAUGCAGUCGAACGAUGAACCGGUUUCGGCCGGGGAUUAGUGGCGAACGGGUGAGUAACACGUGGGCAAUCUGCCCUGCACUCUGGGACAAGCCCUGGAAACGGGGUCUAAUACCGGAUAUGACCGUCUUGGGCAUCCUUGACGGUGUAAAGCUCCGGCGGUGCAGGAUGAGCCCGCGGCCUAUCAGCUUGUUGGUGAGGUAGUGGCUCACCAAGGCGACGACGGGUAGCCGGCCUGAGAGGGCGACCGGCCACACUGGGACUGAGACACGGCCCAGACUCCUACGGGAGGCAGCAGUGGGGAAUAUUGCACAAUGGGCGGAAGCCUGAUGCAGCGACGCCGCGUGAGGGACGACGGCCUUCGGGUUGUAAACCUCUUUCAGCAGGGAAGAAGCGCAAGUGACGGUACCUGCAGAAGAAGCGCCGGCUAACUACGUGCCAGCAGCCGCGGUAAUACGUAGGGCGCAAGCGUUGUCCGGAAUUAUUGGGCGUAAAGAGCUCGUAGGCGGCUUGUCGCGUCGGUUGUGAAAGCCCGGGGCUUAACCCCGGGUCUGCAGUCGAUACGGGCAGGCUAGAGUUCGGUAGGGGAGAUCGGAAUUCCUGGUGUAGCGGUGAAAUGCGCAGAUAUCAGGAGGAACACCGGUGGCGAAGGCGGAUCUCUGGGCCGAUACUGACGCUGAGGAGCGAAAGCGUGGGGAGCGAACAGGAUUAGAUACCCUGGUAGUCCACGCCGUAAA